UAGGGAAUCUUCCACAAUGGACGCAAGUCUGAUGGAGGAACGCCGCAUGAGUGAAGAAGGGUUUCGGCUCGUAAAGCUCUGUUGUUGAAGAAGAACGUGGGUAAGAGUAACUGUUUACCCAGUGACGGUAUUUAACCAGAAAGCCACGGCUAACUACGUGCCAG
Molecule: ribosomal RNA, 164 nt
Filed under: uncultured bacterium
Lineage: Bacteria
Description: partial 16S ribosomal RNA
Rfam family: Bacterial small subunit ribosomal RNA
Source: RNAcentral